This 429-nucleotide ribosomal RNA is filed under the name Bacillota bacterium. Its description in RNAcentral is "Firmicutes bacterium partial 16S ribosomal RNA". It matches the Rfam family "Bacterial small subunit ribosomal RNA", at positions 355 to 776 of the family's 1533-position model. The record is from RNAcentral. Lineage: Bacteria; Bacillati; Bacillota.
UAGGGAAUCUUCGGCAAUGGACGGAAGUCUGACCGAGCAACGCCGCGUGAGUGAAGAAGGUUUUCGGAUCGUAAAGCUCUGUUGUUAGAGAAGAACGUUGGUAGGAGUGGAAAAUCUACCAAGUGACGGUAACUAACCAGAAAGGGACGGCUAACUACGUGCCAGCAGCCGCGGUAAUACGUAGGUCCCGAGCGUUGUCCGGAUUUAUUGGGCGUAAAGCGAGCGCAGGCGGUUCUUUAAGUCUGAAGUUAAAGGCAGUGGCUUAACCAUUGUACGCUUUGGAAACGGGAGGACUUGAGUGCAGAAGGGGAGGGUGGAAUUCCAUGUGUAGCGGUGAAAUGCGUAGAUAUAUGGAGGAACACCGGUGGCGAAAGCGGCUCUCUGGUCUGUAACUGACGCUGAGGCUCGAAAGCGUGGGGAGCAAACAGG